ACCUUAUAAACCCAUUACACGAAACAACGACACAUCGGGGUAGAUCCUCUUUAUCUAUUUCUUUAACCAACCACUCUCUCAAACACACACACAAACCACGUUCCGUUUCUCGAAAUUCCAACACUUCAAUUAAAAAAAAAAAAACCAACAUAUAUUUUGUUUACUACAACUGAAACAGUUACGAAACCUCUGCAUCUCUGCCGUCAACUCCGCUGCUUCGCACUCCGCUAAUUUAAACAAAGUUCCCAUCGAAACAUCGCUUUAUUUGGUUUGGUUUUGUCCUAAUUUGAAAAAUGACCGCGAUACGAGGAGCGGGGCCGUUGGUUUUUGGUUCUUCUUCGCUGGACUGCGAUGAAAUUGGACCGUUUUCGUCGUGGCGGUUUGCGAAGCUAGGGUUCGUGAGCCUCAAUGGUACUAAUGUGAUUGGGUUGGAUUACAGUGGAAAAACCGUACGGCUUAAUGUGAAUGUGAGAUCGAGCUUUCUCAAGCCAAUUAAAGCCAUGGGAGACUCUACCGCCGCCUCAUUUACCAAUACCAAUGAUUGUGCUGCUUCCAUUUCUUCUGGUGAAAAUCUCCACCAGAUGUCAACUGUAAGGAAGUCGACAAACAUCGCGUGGCAUAAGAGUUCAGUGGAGAAAUUUGAUAGGCAAGAGUUACUUCAGCAAAAAGGAUGUGUCAUCUGGAUAACCGGACUUAGUGGUUCAGGAAAAAGCACUUUGGCAUGUACUUUGAGUCGAGGAUUGCAUUCGAGAGGAAAGCUCACCUACAUUCUUGAUGGUGACAAUGUUCGACAUGGUUUGAACAGUGACCUUAGUUUUAAAGUAGAAGAUCGUGCAGAAAACAUACGUAGGAUUGGUGAGGUAGCAAAGCUCUUUGCAGAUGCUGGCAUCAUUUGCAUUGCUAGUUUGAUAUCUCCCUACAGGAAGGACAGAGAUGCCUGCCGUGCAUUAUUGCCAGAAGGAGAUUUCAUUGAGGUUUUUCUUGAUGUGCCACUACAAGUGUGUGAGGCAAGGGACCCAAAGGGACUUUACAAGCUUGCACGAUGUGGAAAGAUCAAAGGUUUUACAGGAAUCGAUGAUCCAUAUGAGCCACCAUUAAAUUGUGAGAUAGUAUUACAACAAAAGGGAGGAGACUCUGUGUCCCCAAGCGAUAUGGCUGAAACAGUUAUAUCUUACUUGGAGGAGAAAGGCUACCUGCAGGCUUAAUAUGAAGGAAGCAUCAAUUCCUGGUUGCUGAUGCUUCCUUUCAUGUGUAACAUAGUUUGAUGCAGACUGUAUAAGUGCUCCUUUCCCACGAUUAGGAAACAGCUCGUUUCCUUUGUCUAAUCUCAAAUAAGGGUAACGCCAGAGACCACCUCUAGAGGAAGAAGAAGAGGAAACAGACUUAACAGUCAAAGGAUGGGGCAUACCCAAUGUAUCAUUAUUCAUUACUCCUGUAUGCCUUCUAGACUUCUAGUUACAACGAAUUUUUCCUUCUUGAAUAAAUAUUAAAUUUUCCCUAUAUAAAUAAAUAAAUAAAUAAAAAAUAAAAAACAAAUGGAUGGGAUCAUUGGGUAGUUCACCCUGUCCCACUGCCAUUUAUUAAUAAGUGUUUAUUAUAAAUGGUUCACUUUAAAAGUUGAAUGGUUGUUUUGGGAGUGGCAUUGGCACUUAAAACUGAACUGAAAUUAAAGAAAAACAAUCUAGUAUUGGCAACUCAAAGGCUGGGUUGUGAAAGUCAAUAAUGCUAAUAAUAAGCCUAAUAAUUACACUACAAUGUAACGUCAUUAACUCAGUUUUAAUCAAUACUAGUACUAUUUAACUUGUUUUAAAGAAGUUAAAGUAGCCUGACUGUUAAAGGCAAUAAAUACCAUAUGUUCACAUUUUCAUAACAAUUUUAUUCCAAAAAAAAGAAAAGAAGAGAAAGCCAAAUAUAGCCAUUGUUGAAAAAGAAAGAAA
This is an RNA transcript of Quercus robur (English oak), 1937 nucleotides long. It is a transcript of the gene named adenylyl-sulfate kinase, chloroplastic, with no coding region annotated. NCBI's taxonomy places the organism in Eukaryota, Viridiplantae, Streptophyta, Magnoliopsida, Fagales, Fagaceae. The transcript is spliced from 8 exons. The record is from RefSeq and is a predicted model, not a curated record.